GGCACAGUUACUUCUCCUCUCUGAGCCUCGAUCUCCCUGCCGGCAAAAUGGGGAUCCUUGUCCCAGCUCCACUCACUCUAUAGGGAAUGAAAAGAUCUAAAGAAGUCUGGCCAGAGGGACACUGAGAUGAGCAAUGUGGUUGGAGGAGAGGAUACUGACCCAAGAAUUCUCUGGAUAAGAAGAAGGAGGAGGGGAAGCCUGAAGUGGAUGGGUCGAGCCUCAGCUGUGGAAGAAUUGCUAAUUACAGCCACCAUAAGGAAAUAUCAAUGAUGGACGUCAAUAUUAUUGCCUCCUGCAUCCCUGCCUGUUUAUUUGGAGAUGAAAAGCGCCCUAGGGUCAUCUCUCCAGGACGAAGAUGAGUGAUGACAGAAGGGAGGAGAGCUACACAUGGAGAAAAGGGCAUCCUCCAGCUGGAUUCAUUCAUGAAACCAGGACCCAUUUCCUCUGGGCAGAGUUCUCUCCACUGAGGGCCCAGGGCUGGGGCUGAGGGCAAAGGAACCUGCACAGGGAGGAGGAACUAGUGAUCCUGCUCCCAGCCCUGGUUCACCAAGUGACUGCAUGUAUGCCUCUUUGUGCCUCAGUUAACUCAUCUGAUAAAUGGGUAUGACAAUUCCAGUCCUGCCUACCUUGUGCAUUGUGAGGAAGUGAAUGAGGUGCAAAAUCAGGGUUUUAGAAGGACGACCCAUGGUGCAAAUGCAGGGGCUUCGUGGGCUGGAGGAGACACGUGGGGUA
Molecule: long non-coding RNA, 732 nt
Filed under: Homo sapiens (human)
Lineage: Eukaryota; Metazoa; Chordata; Mammalia; Primates; Hominidae
Description: non-protein coding LINGO1-AS2:5
Source: RNAcentral